Molecule: ribosomal RNA, 623 nt
Filed under: Hydroporus bithynicus
Lineage: Eukaryota; Metazoa; Arthropoda; Insecta; Coleoptera; Dytiscidae
Description: partial 16S ribosomal RNA
Rfam family: Bacterial large subunit ribosomal RNA
Source: RNAcentral
GUCCUUUAGUUAAAAAUAAUUUAAGGUCUAACCUGCCCAUUGAUUUAUUAAAAGGCCGCAGUAAUUUGACUGUGCAAAGGUAGCAUAAUCAUUAGUUUUUUAAUUAAAAGCUUGUAUGAAUGGUUGGACGAGAUAAAAUCUGUCUCUUUAUAAAAAAUAGAAUUUAAUUUUUAAGUUAAAAAGCUUAAAUAUAAAUAAAAGACGAGAAGACCCUAUAGAUCUUAAUAUAAUUUUUUUUAGUAUUAAUUAAGAAAAUUUUAUUUAUUAAAAAAGAUUUUAUUUUAUUGGGGUAAUAAAAAGAUUAAUUAAAUUCUUUAUAAUUAUACAAAAAUUAUUGGUUUUUUGAUCCAUUAUUAAUGAUUAAAAGAUUAAGUUACCUUAGGGAUAACAGCGUAAUUUUUUUAGAGAGUUCAUAUCAAUAAAAAAGUUUGCGACCUCGAUGUUGGAUUAAAAGUAAUCUUAGGUGUAGAAGUUUAAGAUUUUGGUCUGUUCGACCAUUGAAUUUUUACAUGAUCUGAGUUUAGACCGGCGUAAGCCAGGUUGGUUUCUAUCUUUAUUAAUUUAAUAUAUUUUAGUACGAAAGGACCAAAUAUAUAAUAUAUACAUAUUUUAUUUUUGAAUAA